UGGAUGAGCACUCAGGCCCAAGCAAUCCUGUGGUCUGUGUAGGUGUCUCCUUUCUGCAGAGCUUAUGCUGAGCUGUGGUUUUGAAUCUCUGUUGCAGCAGCAGUCCCUGCCUGGAGGAAACCCUUCUCCCUGUGCUGCAUCUGGAGGCAUUGUGAGAACCUUGGAGCAUGCAGGCCUUUGGACAUCCCAGCAUUGGAGAAUUUUGUGUCCAAAAUUCCUGGUCUAUUUUUGAAAUAUGGCCAUGAUGUGAGUGUGAUUUGUGGGAGGGAGAACUUACCCAGAACUCAGCACUUCUGGAGGUCUCAGAUGAGAACACAUCCCUCAAUGAUUCUGCUACAGAUAACGGCUGCUGGGCAGUCUGUGAGCUCAUCCAGAGCAGGACUUGGCUCAGCCUUCCCCACAUUUGCCUUGAAUGCAACAUCCAAGCAUGAUCAUAGCUGGAGCUUCCCCUCAUCAAAGCAGAAAAUAAGCAGAAGGACCAACCACCUGCCACUCACUUGGUCACCUCAACAAGGCCAGGCUGGGGCUGAGAAUCAAUAGCAACGACACUGAGCUUUUGUGAGCUCAGGGUUUGUUUAAGGUGUUCACAUGUCAGCAGCUCGUGGAUGCUACAGGAGACCAGGAAUGGCCGUGAGUACCUGCACACACUGACCCCCCAUUUACCCAUGAACAGGAGCCACUCCAAUGAGCUCAGUCUGAUUUUAAAAGAUCUUUUGAGUGUUAAACAUGUAAUAAGAUGCUCAGUGUUAUUUUCAAACCAAGACAUGUUCCUGGCUGAUUUAUAAAAGGCCACA
Molecule: long non-coding RNA, 794 nt
Filed under: Junco hyemalis (dark-eyed junco)
Lineage: Eukaryota; Metazoa; Chordata; Aves; Passeriformes; Passerellidae
Description: lncRNA (ENSJHYG00000009314.1)
Source: RNAcentral